RNAcentral lists this ribosomal RNA (978 nucleotides) under uncultured bacterium BURTON-9. RNAcentral's name for it is "bacterial SSU rRNA". It matches the Rfam family "Bacterial small subunit ribosomal RNA", at positions 509 to 1504 of the family's 1533-position model. The record is from RNAcentral. Lineage: Bacteria; Pseudomonadati; Pseudomonadota; Alphaproteobacteria; Rhodobacterales; Roseobacteraceae.
CAGCAGCCGCGGUAAUACGGAGGGGGUUAGCGUUGUUCGGAAUUACUGGGCGUAAAGCGCGCGUAGGCGGAUUAGUAAGUUAGUGGUGAAAUCCCAGGGCUCAACCCUGGAACUGCCUCUAAUACUGCUAGUCUUGAGUUCGAGAGAGGUGAGUGGAAUUCCGAGUGUAGAGGUGAAAUUCGUAGAUAUUCGGAGGAACACCAGUGGCGAAGGCGGCUCACUGGCUCGAUACUGACGCUGAGGUGCGAAAGUGUGGGGAGCAAACAGGAUUAGAUACCCUGGUAGUCCACACCGUAAACGAUGAAUGCCAGACGUCGGGUAGCAUGCUGCUCGGUGUCACACCUAACGGAUUAAGCAUUCCGCCUGGGGAGUACGGUCGCAAGAUUAAAACUCAAAGGAAUUGACGGGGGCCCGCACAAGCCGUGGAGCAUGUGGUUUAAUUCGAAGCCACGCGCAGAACCUUACCAACCCUUGACAUCCCUAUCGCGGUUUCCAGAGAUGGAUUCUUCAGCUUCGCUGGACAAGGUGACAGGUGCUGCAUGGCUUCGUCAGCUCGUGUCGUGAGAUGUUCGGUUAAGUCCGGCAACGAGCGCAACCCACAUCCUUAGUUGCCAGCAGGUUAAGCUGGGCACUCUAGGGAAACUGCCCGUGAUAAGCGGGAGGAAGGUGUGGAUGACGUCAAGUCCUCAUGGCCCUUACGGGUUGGGCUACACACGUGCUACAAUGGCAGUGACAAUGGGUUAAUCCCAAAAAGCUGUCUCAGUUCGGAUUGUCGUCUGCAACUCGACGGCAUGAAGUCGGAAUCGCUAGUAAUCGCGUAACAGCAUGACGCGGUGAAUACGUUCCCGGGCCUUGUACACACCGCCCGUCACACCAUGGGAGUUGGUUCUACCUGACGACGCUGCGCUAACCCUUCGGGGAGGCAGGCGGCCACGGUAGGAUCAGCGACUGGGGUGAAGUCGUAACAAGGUAACCGUA